The sequence is a transfer RNA, 100 nucleotides long. It matches the Rfam family "tRNA". From Rfam's summary of the family: Transfer RNA (tRNA) molecules are approximately 80 nucleotides in length. Their secondary structure includes four short double-helical elements and three loops (D, anti-codon, and T loops).
GGCGCUUUGACGGAGUGGUUAACGUGCUGCCCUGCUAUCUUCUGGAUCAGCGGUUCAGGCAGUUCCUUCGGGAGCGCAGGUUCGAAUCCUGCAGGCGUCG